UGCAACAUGUGUUUACCUUGCUCAAUUAAUUGCAUGUGGUUUAAUACGCUUAAAAUAGGAUAAAUAGCUGUCAUGCUCAAUAAUCCUUGGAAAUUUUACAGUAUCCUCUGUUGGUGAUAGUGAAGCUUCUGUAAAAAAAAUUCAGCACCAUAUCCUGUUUGAUGCUAUCAGAAACAAGUUUUGAAGUUAUAGCUAGUUAAAUGGAGUAACAACAAUUAAUGAAUAAGAAGGGUAAAAUGGGAAAUGUACAUCUAGGUUGUUAAGAAAUUCAAAAAUAGGAUAACUUUCCAAAUGAGUUUUGAGAAACCCUAAAGUGACCCCACC
This 324-nucleotide long non-coding RNA is filed under the name Setaria italica (foxtail millet). RNAcentral describes it as "long non-coding RNA (SITA_LNC001353)". The record is from RNAcentral. Lineage: Eukaryota; Viridiplantae; Streptophyta; Magnoliopsida; Poales; Poaceae.